Molecule: transfer RNA, 75 nt
Filed under: Acidobacteriota bacterium
Lineage: Bacteria; Pseudomonadati; Acidobacteriota
Also listed under: 1 other name
Description: Acidobacteria bacterium tRNA-Thr
Rfam family: tRNA
About the family: Transfer RNA (tRNA) molecules are approximately 80 nucleotides in length. Their secondary structure includes four short double-helical elements and three loops (D, anti-codon, and T loops).
Source: RNAcentral
GCCAGCGUAGCUCAGUGGUAGAGCAGCUGAUUCGUAAUCAGCAGGUCCUCGGUUCAAUCCCGAGCGCUGGCUCCA